GAAAUACUCCCUCCAUCCCAAAAUUCUUGUCUUAGAUUUGUCUAAAUACGGAUGUAUCAAGUCACGUUUUGGUUUUAGAUACAUCUGUAUCUAGACUAAUCUAAGACAAGAAUUUUGGGACGCAGGGAGUAUAAG
This is a non-coding RNA of Triticum urartu, 135 nucleotides long. The record is from Rfam. NCBI's taxonomy places the organism in Eukaryota, Viridiplantae, Streptophyta, Magnoliopsida, Poales, Poaceae.